CAGUCGCCGCGGGAAUACGUAGGUGGCAAGCGUUGUCCGGAAUUAUUGGGCGUAAAGGGCUCGCAGGCGGUUUCUUAAGUCUGAUGUGAAAGCCCCCGGCUCAACCGGGGAGGGUCAUUGGAAACUGGGAAACUUGAGUGCAGAAGAGGAGAGUGGAAUUCCACGUGUAGCGGUGAAAUGCGUAGAGAUGUGGAGGAACACCAGUGGCGAAGGCGACUCUCUGGUCUGUAACUGACGUUGAGGAGCGAAAGCGUGGGGAGCGAACAGGAUUAGAUACCCGUGUAGUCCCUGUCUCUUAUAA
Molecule: ribosomal RNA, 301 nt
Filed under: uncultured bacterium
Lineage: Bacteria
Description: partial 16S ribosomal RNA
Rfam family: Bacterial small subunit ribosomal RNA
Source: RNAcentral